RNAcentral lists this transfer RNA (85 nucleotides) under Felis catus (domestic cat). It matches the Rfam family "tRNA". Rfam says of the family: Transfer RNA (tRNA) molecules are approximately 80 nucleotides in length. Their secondary structure includes four short double-helical elements and three loops (D, anti-codon, and T loops). The record is from Rfam by way of RNAcentral. Lineage: Eukaryota; Metazoa; Chordata; Mammalia; Carnivora; Felidae.
GCCUGGGUGGCUCAGUCAGUUAAGCGGCUGACUUCAGCUCAGGUCAUGAUCUCGCAGUCUGUGAGUUCGAGCCCCACCUCGGGCU